This 2800-nucleotide ribosomal RNA is filed under the name Klebsiella pneumoniae. RNAcentral describes it as "bacterial LSU rRNA". It matches the Rfam family "Bacterial large subunit ribosomal RNA". The record is from RNAcentral. Lineage: Bacteria; Pseudomonadati; Pseudomonadota; Gammaproteobacteria; Enterobacterales; Enterobacteriaceae.
CGGCGAUGUCCGAAUGGGGAAACCCAGUGCAAUUCGUUGCACUAUCGUUAACUGAAUACAUAGGUUAACGAGGCGAACCGGGGGAACUGAAACAUCUAAGUACCCCGAGGAAAAGAAAUCAACCGAGAUUCCCCCAGUAGCGGCGAGCGAACGGGGAGCAGCCCAGAGUCUGAAUCAGCUUGUGUGUUAGUGGAACGGUCUGGAAAGUCCGACGGUACAGGGUGAUAGUCCCGUACACCAAAAUGCACAGGCUGUGAACUCGAAGAGUAGGGCGGGACACGUGGUAUCCUGUCUGAAUAUGGGGGGACCAUCCUCCAAGGCUAAAUACUCCUGACUGACCGAUAGUGAACCAGUACCGUGAGGGAAAGGCGAAAAGAACCCCGGCGAGGGGAGUGAAAAAGAACCUGAAACCGUGUACGUACAAGCAGUGGGAGCACCUUUAUGGUGUGACUGCGUACCUUUUGUAUAAUGGGUCAGCGACUUAUAUUCUGUAGCAAGGUUAACCGUAUAGGGGAGCCGCAGGGAAACCGAGUCUUAACUGGGCGUUAAGUUGCAGGGUAUAGACCCGAAACCCGGUGAUCUAGCCAUGGGCAGGUUGAAGGUUGGGUAACACUAACUGGAGGACCGAACCGACUAAUGUUGAAAAAUUAGCGGAUGACUUGUGGCUGGGGGUGAAAGGCCAAUCAAACCGGGAGAUAGCUGGUUCUCCCCGAAAGCUAUUUAGGUAGCGCCUCGUGAACUCAUCUUCGGGGGUAGAGCACUGUUUCGGCUAGGGGGUCAUCCCGACUUACCAACCCGAUGCAAACUACGAAUACCGAAGAAUGUUAUCACGGGAGACACACGGCGGGUGCUAACGUCCGUCGUGAAGAGGGAAACAACCCAGACCGCCAGCUAAGGUCCCAAAGUCAUGGUUAAGUGGGAAACGAUGUGGGAAGGCACAGACAGCCAGGAUGUUGGCUUAGAAGCAGCCAUCAUUUAAAGAAAGCGUAAUAGCUCACUGGUCGAGUCGGCCUGCGCGGAAGAUGUAACGGGGCUAAACCAUGCACCGAAGCUGCGGCAGCGACACUAUGUGUUGUUGGGUAGGGGAGCGUUCUGUAAGCCUGCGAAGGUGGCCUGUGAGGGCUGCUGGAGGUAUCAGAAGUGCGAAUGCUGACAUAAGUAACGAUAAAGCGGGUGAAAAGCCCGCUCGCCGGAAGACCAAGGGUUCCUGUCCAACGUUAAUCGGGGCAGGGUGAGUCGACCCCUAAGGCGAGGCCGAAAGGCGUAGUCGAUGGGAAACAGGUUAAUAUUCCUGUACUUGGUGUUACUGCGAAGGGGGGACGGAGAAGGCUAUGUUAGCCGGGCGACGGUUGUCCCGGUUUAAGCAUGUAGGCGGAGGUUCCAGGUAAAUCCGGUACCUUUUAACGCUGAGGUGUGAUGACGAGGCACUACGGUGCUGAAGUAACAAAUGCCCUGCUUCCAGGAAAAGCCUCUAAGCAUCAGGUAACAUCAAAUCGUACCCCAAACCGACACAGGUGGUCAGGUAGAGAAUACCAAGGCGCUUGAGAGAACUCGGGUGAAGGAACUAGGCAAAAUGGUGCCGUAACUUCGGGAGAAGGCACGCUGGUGUGUAGGUGAAGUCCCUGCGGACGGAGCUGAGACCAGUCGAAGAUACCAGCUGGCUGCAACUGUUUAUUAAAAACACAGCACUGUGCAAACACGAAAGUGGACGUAUACGGUGUGACGCCUGCCCGGUGCCGGAAGGUUAAUUGAUGGGGUUAUCCGUAAGGAGAAGCUCUUGAUCGAAGCCCCGGUAAACGGCGGCCGUAACUAUAACGGUCCUAAGGUAGCGAAAUUCCUUGUCGGGUAAGUUCCGACCUGCACGAAUGGCGUAAUGAUGGCCAGGCUGUCUCCACCCGAGACUCAGUGAAAUUGAACUCGCUGUGAAGAUGCAGUGUACCCGCGGCAAGACGGAAAGACCCCGUGAACCUUUACUAUAGCUUGACACUGAACAUUGAGCCUUGAUGUGUAGGAUAGGUGGGAGGCUUUGAAGCGUGGACGCCAGUCUGCGUGGAGCCAACCUUGAAAUACCACCCUUUAAUGUUUGAUGUUCUAACGUUGGCCCCUGACCGGGGUUGCGGACAGUGUCUGGUGGGUAGUUUGACUGGGGCGGUCUCCUCCCAAAGAGUAACGGAGGAGCACGAAGGUUAGCUAAUCCUGGUCGGACAUCAGGAGGUUAGUGCAAUGGCAUAAGCUAGCUUGACUGCGAGCGUGACGGCGCGAGCAGGUGCGAAAGCAGGUCAUAGUGAUCCGGUGGUUCUGAAUGGAAGGGCCAUCGCUCAACGGAUAAAAGGUACUCCGGGGAUAACAGGCUGAUACCGCCCAAGAGUUCAUAUCGACGGCGGUGUUUGGCACCUCGAUGUCGGCUCAUCACAUCCUGGGGCUGAAGUAGGUCCCAAGGGUAUGGCUGUUCGCCAUUUAAAGUGGUACGCGAGCUGGGUUUAGAACGUCGUGAGACAGUUCGGUCCCUAUCUGCCGUGGGCGCUGGAGAAUUGAGGGGGGCUGCUCCUAGUACGAGAGGACCGGAGUGGACGCAUCACUGGUGUUCGGGUUGUCAUGCCAAUGGCACUGCCCGGUAGCUAAAUGCGGAAGAGAUAAGUGCUGAAAGCAUCUAAGCACGAAACUUGCCCCGAGAUGAGUUCUCCCUGAGACUUUAAGUCUCCUGAAGGAACGUUGAAGACGACGACGUUGAUAGGCCGGGUGUGUAAGCGCAGCGAUGCGUUGAGCUAACCGGUACUAAUGAACCGUGAGGCUUAACCUU